UACGUAGGUGACCAGCGUUGUCCGGAUUUACUGGGCGUAAAGAGCGCGCAGGCGGUCGUUCAAGUCGAGUGUGAAAGCCCCCGGCUCAACUGGGGAGGGUCAUUCGAUACUGAUCGACUCGAAGGCAGGAGAGGGAAGCGGAAUUCCCGGUGUAGUGGUGAAAUGCGUAGAUAUCGGGAGGAACACCAGUGGCGAAGGCGGCUUCCUGGCCUGUUCUUGACGCUGAGGCGCGAAAGCUGGGGGAGCAAACGGG
This 253-nucleotide ribosomal RNA is filed under the name uncultured bacterium. RNAcentral describes it as "partial 16S ribosomal RNA". It matches the Rfam family "Bacterial small subunit ribosomal RNA", at positions 524 to 776 of the family's 1533-position model. The record is from RNAcentral.